This 249-nucleotide ribosomal RNA is filed under the name uncultured Actinomycetales bacterium. Its description in RNAcentral is "partial 16S ribosomal RNA". It matches the Rfam family "Bacterial small subunit ribosomal RNA", at positions 82 to 334 of the family's 1533-position model. Lineage: Bacteria; Bacillati; Actinomycetota; Actinomycetes; Actinomycetales. The record is from RNAcentral.
CGGAGGUACUCGAGUGGCGAACGGGUGGGUAACACGUGGGUGAUCUGCCCUGCACUCUGGGAUAAGCCUGGGAAACUGGGUCUAAUACCGGAUAGGACCAUGCUUUAGUGUGUGUGGUGGAAAGUUUUUUCGGUGUAGGAUGAGCCCGCGGCCUAUCAGCUUGUUGGUGGGGUAAUGGCCUACCAAGGCGGCGACGGGUAGCCGGACUGAGAGGUUGGUCGGCCACAUUGGGACUGAGAUACGGCCCAG